Molecule: non-coding RNA, 488 nt
Organism: Paramuricea clavata
Lineage: Eukaryota; Metazoa; Cnidaria; Anthozoa; Malacalcyonacea; Plexauridae
Source: the annotation of a GenBank genome assembly
CAGGGAUCUGGGCUAAAACUGCAGGUUCGAUGAAUGGUACAUUCAACUGCUUAAUCUUUUACUGGAAAGACAAGCUUUUACGUGCCGAGGGAUUGAAAGUUAUGAAAAGUAUGAAAAUAUGUCGACGGGUUCAAAACGAGCUGGAUCAAUAAUAACCUUUUUGAAAACCUAUCGAAAUCAUUCGCAUUUCAGAUCAAAAUGAAGAAUAAUUGAAGUCUUCGUAAUUUAAAGAUGAUUUAACUGCCGACUUGACAACGAAUUUUUUUAAAUUACGAAUUUAACUGAACUCUGAAGUUUGCGAACUUUCAAUGCCAUUAUUAUGCUUCUUACACAUAGGCAACCUCCGUUUGAUCCGAAUGUCAGAGGGAGAAAAUGUGUUUUCGACCAGUAAUUAAAUUGAAAAGUUUUCGUUGACAAGGUCAAGGAGCCUUGUUCAAAAUUAAGCUGCCAUGCAGGGGGCUCAACAAAAAUUUACCUGUCUAUGUAGU